Molecule: long non-coding RNA, 2666 nt
Organism: Felis catus (domestic cat)
Lineage: Eukaryota; Metazoa; Chordata; Mammalia; Carnivora; Felidae
Exons: 12
Source: RefSeq, a predicted model, not a curated record
GGCUUUAGAUAAGAAUUGGAACUUGAUUACCGCAGCAGCUCAUUUACUCCGUUUCCUUGGCUGAGCGAGGCAUUUGAGUUUGAUUAACAAGAUUUUCUACUUGACGUUCAACUCUCAUUUUCCGAAGCGCUGAGGACGGCACUUCCGUCCCUCUCCAUCACCUCUGCCAACUUACGCCUCCGCCUCCGGGCCUCGGAGCCGCCUUGGCAAUGGCCAGUCCUGCGAUUGGUUCCCAGCGGUGAAGGAGCUACUGACUCCGACCUUGUCUGAAGGUUACUUCUCAAGUUCGUGCAUUUUCUCAGCGAUGUGCAUUCAAAUUAGGUGCUGGUGAUACAAGGGUGAAGCUGGCAGUAGAAGAUUCCUCCCGUCUCAGUCCUCGCCUUCAGAGGGAGGAAGAGAGACAACAAACAAGUGAACAAAAUAGGUGGCACCGGUGGUGCAGGAGAGUGAAAAGACGAUGCCCGAAGGAGGCAGAGGGCAUGAACUUGGGGAAUGCACCUGCGGCAGGAAGGGAAACAUUUCCUCCACUGGGGCCGAAGGAAAGGAGAAGAUGGAUGCCUGUGCUUCUGAUGUGGCACCUGGUAGGAUGAAUUAAGGACCAUGGCCGGCACCUGGUAGGAUGAAUUAAGGACCAUGGCCAGCACCUGGUAGGAUGAAUGAAGGACCAUGGCUGUUAUCUGAGAGAGGAGGGGAGAAGGAACCUGGAACACCUCAGCAAAGAGGACAAGGGAUCUAGCAUUUUGAAGACACACAAUUUAGCAGACAUUCAAAUUCGCUGAACAGAUGAAUUCAGAGGGGAGGUGGAGAUCUCAGAUGGAAGCGAUGUUCGAGGAAGAAACUGCAUGGAGGCCUGAAACGCAUGGUCCCCUCUACACACCUGAAGAGGAAGCCGUACGAGAGACCCAAGAGUCAUGCUGGGACUGUGCAGUUCAUACUCCUAAAGGAGAUAACCCGAUUGGCCCAGCUCCUGCCUCCUCAAUAUGCUGACCACCCAAUGAGUUCACUGCUCUUGGUCAUAUGCACCACUUUUAGUCUGCUCAGCAAUGGAAGAUGUGGAGAAGAUCUCAUGUUCAGAACGGACUGUGCAUUCAGCAGGAUGGUACAGCCCACAAUGCCUUCUUUCCAGAAGUACUGGGGAGGGAACAGAGAUGUUUCAUCGGAAUCCUAGUCUGUCACUGCUCUGCAACCUUGGGGAGACCCUCAACCUCUCUGCUCCAACUUGCCUCAUUCAGAGUUCUGAGACUGUCUCCUAGAUCUGUACAAGAGUCUUUCCUGGCCACUGCUCCUUCCACAACCUCCUCUAAUCUAUUCUCUUCAUGCUGCUGACUGCUUGGCUUUCUGGAUUGGGACUCUGUCUGCUAGAUUUUGGUAUUUCAGAAUUGCGGAUAAUGGAAUGCGGAUGUGAAUAUCUCUAAAGAAAGAAAGACUCAAUCAUGGAAGGGAGAAGUGAGCCAUGGAAGUGUAGAAAAGGGAGAAGCGUGGAGAACAUGUGAGCAGUGACCAAACACUACCCAGCAAGAGGCAGGAUUUACUAUAUUCUGAUUCCAUUGUCAAGGCCAGCGUUGUAGAAAGAAAGAAAGAAGUGCUGAGCUCUCUCAACUGAGAUCACUAAACAGUUGGCUCAUUUGAACAGUAUUUUUCUACUUUUGUACUCCCCAAGCCACUGGACAAUUAUCAAUCUUGGCAUAUAUAAAAUAUCUGCAGAAGAGAAUAAUCUUUUCACAACUUUGGGUUCCUACUUCUGUAAUAGGGCAAAGAGGCAAGGGCAGAGAGCAGUCUACAUAACUUGGAAGGAUAGUGUCGUGUGGAGAGGGCAGACUUGAGAGACAUUGUGCCCUUGGGUCAACGGAACAGACACCUCCAGGUGACCCCAGAGAGAGGAAGCAGAGGCUUCAUUGAAGACUUCACCCAAGAAGAAAGGAGGGGAAGAGAAUCAGCUCAGCCUGGCGUAAGCCAUUCGUCCUAUGAGCCGAGUGCUCUUUUAAAGGCCUCGUGUUUAUGAACUCACAUAAUUCUCAGGACAACUCUUAGGAGACAGACACUAUUUUUAUCCUCAUUUUGCAGACAAGGGACAGGUUUCCACAAGGAAAUUAAGAAGCUUGCUUGUGACCUCACAAAUGGCAAGAGCUGGGCCUUGCCGGCAGGUGUCCUGGCUCCAGAACCUGUGCUGACAACCACUUACCCUCUACUCCACUGAAUCUCCCACUAUUCUGUUCGGCAAACAAGAAAGUCCUACUUCACUUUACUCCUUGUCAAGAGGACCCUUCACGACUACAGAAUAAAACCUGGUACCUAGGACACCUUGAAGGCUAGUAAGAUAGCAAAAACACACUUCUUUCUGUGGUGGCAGGAAGAGGAUGCCCAGCCCUUGAAUGACAUGAGCUGGCGGGCUCUUGGCUGGACAUCAAGGAAGUAGACGUCCGUUCACUCCAGCAGUCACCGUGAACAUUUCCAUUUUUGGAAUCCCCCUUUUCUCCUUUAUAGAACACAAUGAUAGGAUGCGUGGAUAUCUCAGGGUUUUGUGGUUUUAAAAGUUGUGGGAUUUUGGGGUGCCUGGGUGGCGCAGUCGGUUAAGCGUCCGACUUCAGCCAGGUCACGAUCUCGCGGUCCGUGGGUUCGAGCCCCGCAUCGGGCUCUGGGCUGAUGGCUCAGAGCCUGGAGCCUGA